AUGGCUUCCUCCGACGACGCGGCUUCCUUUAGGGUCGACUCCGCAGUCGAGGAGAAGAGCGCCGAUGACCUCUUGGCUGCGCUCAUUGAGAAGAACCCACAACUGAUCCUAAUUAAGUAUUUUGAUGAUCUGAAAAAGAAGAAUCCGCCAACUAAGGAUAGCAAGGCCCCACCACGUAGCGAUAUGUGCGCUCCUUACAGUCCACCAGUUCGGCUCCCCGUAGAUUCCAAUCAUUCUCCAAACAUCACCUUUUGUUUCAUGAACCAAAACAUCAAUCCCAUCAAAUCGUCGGCAUCCGGGUGGCCGACCUGGAAGACGGUCUCGAGUGGCUGCUGCAUGUCCACGGCAUUGUCGCCGCCAGGGACACCGCGGGUCACCUUCCUCUUCAACCGCACCAGGGAUAACUGCCAGAUCGCCUACGCGCCGCUGACCCCCUCGGUCAAGGCGACCAUCGUCGGUGUCCGGGUAAUCGACGGGGUGUGGCCGGAGGGUCUCCGGGGCCGCGUCGUCGCCGGAGUCACCACCGUGAGGGAAGGAGAGUUGCUGCUGCUCAACUCCCAGGACGGGAAGAUGCCGAUCAACUCUUCGACCGGCGCGACCGACCUCUCAAGGCGCGUCGUGUCGGUGGACCUCAAGGGCGAGGGGAAGCUGGUGGUCUCCUCUCAGACUGGUGGAAAAGAAGAUGAUGAUGGUGGUGCUGAUGUCGUUGCGCGAGGCGAGGCCGUCUUGGCGCCGAAGAGGGCCGGCAUGAGCAAUGCCACCUAUGAUCUUGGUUUCUGCAAGGUGGAGGUCAUUGUUGCCUGGUCCCUUGUUUCGAGCUUGGUGAAUGAGCGGCGCGCCGCCGCGAAACUCAUAGAGGAAAAGCCAUGA
Molecule: ribosomal RNA, 870 nt
Filed under: Triticum aestivum (bread wheat)
Lineage: Eukaryota; Viridiplantae; Streptophyta; Magnoliopsida; Poales; Poaceae
Description: partial small subunit ribosomal RNA
Source: RNAcentral